Molecule: long non-coding RNA, 496 nt
Organism: Dendroctonus ponderosae (mountain pine beetle)
Lineage: Eukaryota; Metazoa; Arthropoda; Insecta; Coleoptera; Curculionidae
Exons: 2
Source: RefSeq, a predicted model, not a curated record
AGUAAUAUAUUUUACAAUUUCGGAACUUUGAACCGUGCAAUACAAUGAGAUGAGAGCGGGCGUAAAUAACGACAUUAAUAUCAAUAACGGGCAAAGCAUUGAGAGAGAGUUCUGAACAUUCCAAUAAGAGAGCUAUGUGGGACAAGCUCAAAAUUAUCUUCAAUCCAUCCUCAAAUCAGUCAACCAGUGAGAGAUAAUUGCCGAUAUUAGUACUCCGACAGCUGUUCUGUUAUUGCUGUUAUAUUGACGACAAACGACAACAACCCGAGUGCCAAAUAGUUUCAAAAACUUGCAGUAUGAAUGAUGAAAGGAAAUUCUACGUGAGAGAAGUGAAAAUGCCGAUAUUAAACUUCGGUGGCAGAGGUAGACAAAUUCUUGUUAUGUUAUGUUAAAAUGUAUAUAACAGUUAAAAAAAACAAAAUUUAAUUAAUUUACUUCUUAUUAGAACAGUUUGUUGCGGCAGUUAUACGUAAAAUAAAAUGUAUUUGAAAUGAAA